UUUUUUUUUUUUUUUUGGCCUGAACUCAUUCAUUUCAACUGGUGCAGAUUUUCCUUUCUUGUUCAACUCCAGAAUGAAAGAAAAAUUCAUGGAGUUCUUUGAUAUAGCAGCUAUUUUUAGCUACAUUUAGAAUUAGCUAUUUUCAGCUACAUUUAGAAUUAGUAUUCUAGAAUCACCGUCUAUUUUCCUCUCCCCUCAAAGGUGAUAUUCAUUUGACACAAAAAUAUCUUCUAAAAUUUUUAUACAACCUCAAAAAUCAUUAUUUUCAUCUAUGUGCUAAGAGAGACCAUGGAAAUAUGGAGAUGAAGGCUAGGAAGAUAUUUCUUGUGCUCAUGUCUCAUUCCUAAGCCAUCAAACAGAUCUCAGUAGAACUAUAUGGAUAGUCUAUGAUGAUUGAAGAGGCAUGGCCUCCUUACACAGCAAGGUGCAAGAUCUUUGAUCUUCACAUACUUAACCAUUGUUUUUCUUUCAAGAUACAGAUCUCCUUUAUCAUAGAUAUACUUGGUCUUGCAUGUCUUUUGCAGACAAGAGGCCUUCAUUUAUAGAUUUAAAAAAUCAAAGUUAAGCAGGAAUCCAUCUUAGGUACUGACACUCAACCAGAUAAGUUGAUAAUAGAAAUUUUCUAGGGAAAUUCAAUUCUGGUGAAAAUUAUUUGUGAGGGGCUGUGAUGAGGAAAUGCACAGAAGAACAACAUAACAAUUUAAAAAGCCAAGAAUAAUGGUUAGUCGCUAUGCGUGUGAGGUUGAGGCAGGAGGAUCACCAUGAAUUUGAAGCUAGGCAGAGCUACAGUGUGAUAUCCUGUCUCUGACAGAAAACCAAUUGUUUCUAUUUUCAUCUAUGGCUCUGUGAAGGCUUUCACUUAUUUCCUGUCAUCAUUGUACCAGACUGACAAACAAUGAUGCCCAAUGUGCAGCCAUUACGUGAGUCAGUUUUUAUAACGGGAAGGCAAUCACGGAGCAGUUUGGGGACUUAUUUCAGCUGAAUUUAGCCUGUUCCCAUAUUUCUGUAGGUUUUGUAACAAGUGACUGUGUCUUCACCACCAAGGUUAUUCUUAACAUAAUUUGGACCACUAUAAGGUAAAUCAAAGGAUUGUGUAGAUGGGCAUCAUCCCUGCAUCAUAUAAGAAUUACUUUCUCCUUGCUUGUCUCCAUGUAUGAGGGGUGGGCAGUGUUUGAGACAUGUUCUUAUAAUGUUUCUUGCCUGUUGUUUGGAUUACAUUUUACAAAAUAAAAAUUCAAUCUGAAGUUUAUAAACUGUUUUCUAUAGCACAGAAACUAUGACCCUCUGUUCACCCAAACUUUUCAAAAUAAUAAGCCCAACUGUGUUCUGUGAACCUUCUAAAACCAUGAAAUGAGUGUGCUCAUGUUCUAUCUUAAUUGGUGUUUUAACAAAGUGUUUUAACAAUACAAAAAUUCUUCCCUUGAAGUACUGCAAUAUGAACACAGUACAUUAGUAGUCUGCCUUAUUUUAAAACAAAGAAACAUCAUAGAUGCAGAGAAAAGAUUCUGGUAGGACAUAUGACUCAUCUAAUUUUUAUUUCUGCAAACACACCUUACACUCUCGGGAUUCUGUCAAUGUCACUGAUGACAUAUAAUUUAGUUAAAACUUGUUGCUUACAUGCAUGCAUGACAAAAGAUAGCCAACAUCUUUUUUCAGAGAAUAUUUUAUAAUUCUUAGUUUACCCCAAGAAAACAGGGGGUUAUAUACAAAUUUGUAGAAGGAAAAAAAAAAGGGUCCAACUAAUUACAACUACCUCCCAUUUAAAUCCGUCAUGUAGAGGAGUGAUUAAUUUUAAUUAAUCUACUUUUGUAAAUAGAUGACUUCAGCUAGCUAGUGUUUACAGUGGAGAACUAUUGUUGUAUCUUCUUGUGAAUGGGAUUUCAUAACAAACAGAAGUGUUUACUGCGUAUUAAUAGUGACCAUUCUGAGGAGGUGACAGAUGUUGGCUGAUUAGUAAUGUGUAUAUAUGAAACAUGUGAGAACUGAUGAUCCUUUCGAUGUUUGUUUUAGUGUGUGCCAUUGUAUAAAUCAGACCAUUACUGUAUCAGAGUAAAAGUAAUGGAAGUGUAUAAUGAGAAAUAGCUACCUUUCAAAAUAAAUGUUUCAAUAAAUUAAAAGCUGAUUCAAAACAA
This 2132-nucleotide long non-coding RNA is filed under the name Mus musculus (house mouse). RNAcentral's name for it is "predicted gene, 47033". Lineage: Eukaryota; Metazoa; Chordata; Mammalia; Rodentia; Muridae. The record is from RNAcentral.